UACCGGAGGGCGCCCAGAGGGUGGCGGCCCGCAGCGCGGGCUCCUGGGCGCCGCCUCCCCUUCUGCGCCGACGCUGGAGGCUAGUCCUGCUCGCGCUGUUCUGGGCGGGGAGAGUCAGGCGAGAGUCAGGCGGAGCAGUCUGCAGGACAGGCGGUUAGCUGACAGCUGUGAGCCAGGCGGUCGUGUUGGCAGGUCCUUCACUGACUACAGCUGCCUUCAGGACACUGGCCGGGAGCCACUACCAGGUCAUCAGGCUGUUUGUCAAGGGUGGGGCAGCCACAACUUGUGCUCUUCCUCAUGAGCCCAGCCUGGGGUGCCACCUGGCACUCAGCACGGCCACAUCUCUUCCCAAGGAUCUGAAAAGAACUGAGGAAAGUGACAAACCUGGAUGGCUACACCUGACCAGAGAGUGGUCUCUAGACCCCAGAGACCUUCUCAGGAACAAAAGGGGAGUGGGGCCUUCCUGGGUCCCCUGGACAACCUGGAGUGUAAGGAGAGCCAGGAGUUUGUGCAGACAGAGCUGGCCAUGCUGAGGAAGGCACAGGAAUUCUUCCGGACCUGCGACACAGAGGGCAAGGGCUUCAUUGCCAGGAGGGAUAUGCAGAGGCUCCAUAAAGAGCUGCCACUCAGCCUGGAGGAACUGGAGGAUGUGUUUGAUGCACUGGAUGCUGAUGGCAAUGGCUUUCUCAGUCCAGAGGAGUUCACCACUGGUUUUAGUCGCUUCUUCUUCAGCCAGAACAAAUCAAGUCAGGAAGAUACAGGUGAAUGGGUGGCUCAACUCUGGGAAGAGAAGCUGUUUCAGUCCAGAGCAGAAGAGGAUCUGGGUGACAUGGAUGAAGAUGAGGAAGCCCAGUUCCAGAUGCUGAUGGACAAACUUGGAGCCCAAAAUGUUUUGGAAGAUGAAAGUGAUGUCAAGCAACUCUGGCUGCAGCUGAAGAAGGAUGAGCCUCACUUACUGUCCAACUUUGAGGAUUUCCUGACCAGAAUCUUCUCCCAGCUCCAAGAAGCCCACGAGGAGAAGAACGAACUGGAGUGUGCCCUGAAAAAGAAAAUUGCUACUUAUGAUGAAGAAAUCCAGCAUCUAUAUGAGGAGAUGGAACAGCAAAUCAAAAGUGAGAAGGAACGGUUUCUUCUGAAAGACACAGAGAGGUUUCAGGCCCGCAGUCAGGAGCUGGAACAGAAGCUGUUGUCUAAGGAGCAGGAGCUGGAGCAGCUCGUUCAGAAGCAGAAAUGGCUGGAAGGUCGAUGCACAGCCCUGCAUAAUGACAAGCAUGAAACCAAGGCCGAGAAUGCCAAGCUGAAACUGACCAACCAGGAGCUGGCCCAGGAGCUGGGGCGGACCUCCCGGGAGCUGCAGCGUGCCCAGCAGCAGCUGGAGAGCCUCCAGCAAGAGGCCUGCAAGCUCCAGCAGGAGAAGGAGAUGGAAGUGUACCGUGUGACAGAGAGUCUGCAGCGGGAGAAGUCGGGGCUCCUGAAGCAGCUGGAUUUCCUCAGGGAAAGGAACAAGCACCUCCGGGAUGAAAGGGACAUACGUUUUCAGAAAGAUAAGGCAGCCAAGGCAAACACAGCUGCUUCCAAGGCAAGCAGGAAACAGAGGUCUGGCUCUGUGAUAGGCAAAUAUGUGGACAGCGGAGGGAUUCUUAGAAGCAAGUCAGAGGAGGAAGAAGAUGGGGUUGGCAUUCAGAGGAGGAAAAGCUCCCUGGGCCUGAGUGUGUAUCCCCUUACAGAAGAGGAACCAGGAACCAGGGAGCAAGGGGCUGGAGGUCCACUCCCCCGGGCAUUCCGCAGAAUCAUCUCCAUUGAAGAAGACCCCCUGCCCCAGCUCCUGGAGGGUAGUUUUGAGCAGCCACUGAGCAGAUGUCCAGAAGAGGAGGAGGUCUUUGACCAGGGUGGGGAAACCCAGCAGGCCCGCCCUUCUCGGCUCAUGCCCACAUCUCCCCGAACACAGCCUGUUGGGAAGGAAGCUGUGUCUAAGGAAGAAGGCUCUCCCUCCACCCCAGACCAAUUGUUCAAGAUUGUGUUUGUGGGGAACUCUGCUGUAGGGAAGACAUCCUUCCUCAGGAGAUUCUGUGAUGACCGGUUCUCCCCAGGCAUGACAGCCACUGUGGGCAUCGAUUACCGUGUGAAGAUGGUGCAAGUGGAUGACUCUCAGGUGGCCCUACAGCUGUGGGACACGGCGGGACAAGAGAGGUAUUGUUGCAUCACUCAGCAGUUCUUCAGAAAGGCAGAUGGCAUCAUCAUCAUGUAUGACCUCACAGCCAAACAGUCCUUCCUGUCAGUCCGGCAGUGGCUGAGCAGUGUGGAGGAAGCUGUGGGAGACCGCAUUCCUGUACUUCUGCUGGGCAAUAAAAUUGACAACGAGAAAGAGCGGGAAGUACCCCGGGGCCUUGGAGAACAGCUUGCCAAGGAGAACAAUUUGAUCUUCUAUGAAUGCAGUGCCUAUUCCGGUCACAACACCAAAGAGUCCGUGCUCCAUCUGGCCAGGAUCCUCAAGGAGCAAGAAGACACAGUGAGGGAAGACACCAUCCAGGUUGAUUACCCUGCCAAGAAGAAAACCUGCUGUGGCUGAUAGGCACCUCCCAGGACUGCUCUACCCAGGCCUAGGGUCACAGGACCUGCAAUGAAUCUAGCACAUGGCUCUUGCACAGAUGCCCCUACCAAGGCCAGCCCAGACCUUUGUCCUUUUACUUGCCUCCCCCAUAAAGAAGGGGAGCACCUCCAGCCAGGAAAGCUGCUCUUGGAGCAUGUUGAAGUCUUUUCUCACCCUACUUUCUCUAGACCCCAGAUGCCCAUUCUUUUCCCUUCUUCCCCCCACUCUUCCAGAUUGACUUCCUAGGAAAAAGAAAUAGAUGGGUUUUUCCAGAAAAGCCACCAUGUGCCUUCUCCAUCUCCCUCCUCCUUCCCACCCUUGCCUUUAGGAGCUUCAGCACUACAGUUGCCACGGUAACUGUGCAGGGCUGACUUGUUGCUUCCUGCAGGCCACAGAUAUAGCACUUGGGCAACGAAUGCCAGGGUGGUUGGUCUGGCUUUGGCUCCUGUUCUCUGGACGCCAGUGGGACACUCUUGGCAUAUGCUUCCUGGACCUCAAGAUACCUGCAUGGUGUUGAGGGGAGCAAACCAGAGUACCCACAUCUUAUUCCCUACCCCUUACCCCUGACCCCAGGGGUUCUGUUCUUUUCCAGGCUUCAGGGCCCAGCCUCUCUCAGCAUCCACAGGGCUUUGGCAUUUGCCCCAGUGGGUUUGCUGGAACAGUGCAUUACAAGGAACCUACAGCCUUUUCUCCUUACCGCCCACCCACAGCCAGGACUCCCAGAAGACUGUAUUUAAAAAAAUAAAAUAUGGCUCUGAUGGUGACAUUUUGCUGCUGUUUGUGUACAGUGUUGCUGUUGGCCUUGGCACUCCUGUGACUGCAGCAGCAUGGGGGCCCUCAGAUUAAGGGACUGACCUGGGCCUGUGGUGAUUCCUACAGCUGGUGCCGGCUAUAGCCCCGGGCUCCUAAAAGAGAUUGGGUGAUGAAGUGCACAUAGUUAUCCAGGCUGGGGAGAAGCCAGAGUUCCCAAGACUGUUCCCUGCAGCCUCUACCCAAGAAAGGGUCAGAGCCCCAUGGGUCACCAGGUCCAAAGAGAAGCCUCGUGGCCAGAAGUUCAGAGGAAGAAGCAUGGUCAGCAGACGGCAUGCUGAGCUGGACUUGGGCUCACCACCGCCCAGCUCUGCCUCAGCUCCCCUCCUCCUCCUGGGGCUCAGUGCCUUAGCUCCUCAGCUACAGUGUGGGUGGGGAGUACCUCAUGCCUAAUGCCCAGGGCUUUGGGGAAGCCAACAAGUAUGUAGAUGCCAGAGAGUUAUGAAAGGGAAGGGCCACUGCUACUGAAGUCAGUUAUCAUUUUUAAGGUCACUAUCAUCCCCAAGAGAUGCACCCCAUCAAGCCAAGUCCUCCUCUAUAUCCUUCCAUCCUGGGCUCUGUCAGCUGGACCACUUCCUCUAAAUGGCCCUGUUCCUUCCCCAGACCUUGGACUGUCUCUUCCAGGGGAGAGGAUGAUACAGGUGAGACUGCCUAUCUCCAAAGCUAAAGAAUAACCAAAUCCAACAAAUCAAAACACCUCACCAGUUCUGGCAAAGGACAUUGUAUUUCUAGCUAGGGAGAUUCUGUAACUGCACUUGGACUACGGCUAGAAAUUUCCCAGAGAGGUCUCUAAUGGAAAUAAGGGCUGCAAGAGGUCCAGCCUGCUUCUCUCAGGGCCUCUGAGUACCACUGUGCAGUGUGUACACUACACAAAAGGACUAGGCUCAAGGGCAAGUGAAAUCCACUCGCCUGCCAAGCACAGCAUCCACAGAGCUAUGUGCUCCUGGAGAGGCAGGCCCCUUUUCAAAUUCAUGCCUGUUCAAAUUUACUCCCUUUCUGAGUGAUAAUGGUUCCUGAGAUAAUAUUUUAGAGCCAGUAGGGGCAGGAAUAAAGGUAUAGGCAAGUGAAAAUGUGGUUCUUGGCCAUGGGAUGGGUGCCUAGCUAAGACCCAACACCCUUUUGGGCUGCAGAAAAGGCAUUAGGUGAAACUGCACAGGCCUUUUGGUGGGAAGGGAAGAGAGAAGGUCAAAGAUAGGACUGGCCUCAGAGUAUUAGGGCUGGGCAGAGUUUCAAGUCACCUACAUAAGUCAUUUUCGAAGGUGUUUGAUUUUGGUCUUGGUUCCUUUUCAUUUCUUUAUUUUUAU
Artibeus jamaicensis (Jamaican fruit-eating bat) is the source of this 4704-nucleotide RNA transcript. It is a transcript of the gene named calcium release activated channel regulator 2A, with no coding region annotated. The record is from RefSeq and is a predicted model, not a curated record. The transcript is spliced from 22 exons. NCBI's taxonomy places the organism in Eukaryota, Metazoa, Chordata, Mammalia, Chiroptera, Phyllostomidae.